UGAGACCUCUUCUGAUAACCUGAAUAAGGCAAAAAAAAAAGAAAAAAACGGUCUUAGAGAGCAGUACAGGUGGUCUUGGGCCUCAUGCUUUACCUGUGCCUCACAAUUAUUUUGAUCCUUGCAAUUAAUGGCGUGUGUGCCCCAGGACUGUGCCAGACUUGAGAAGUGACUCCUUGAUCUUGCUGAUGAAUGAGCAUCUUGGGACGGGAGAGGAGCCAUGAAAGGCUUUCUAUGCCAGGGUGCUUUUGCAGAGCUGAAAUGGCCCAAGCUUGGAAAGAUCUGGAUAAGCAGGACAGAAGGACCAACUCGAGGCUAACUGGAGAAUCAGCUAUAAGCCUGAGAGGAAGAGAAUGGGCCAAAGACACAACAAGAUGCUGAGGUCCAGGCAGGCCAAUGGUGGGGAAUGCUGCAGAGGCCAGUGGUGGCUGCCAACCAAAGCAUCAGCCAACAGCAGGGCCCAAGGUGGGGGGUGGGGGGAAGGGGGGCUAAAAGAACAAAGGAGGACUGGCUGUGUGUCAGGGACACAAUCCUUAGAACAAGGCUCUCUAUUUCAAGACCCUCACAGAAGAUUAUUUUCUGCUCUUAAUAUCUCAUACCCCUUAUUGCUAGGAAGGUCCUUCUGGAGCCUCAGUUAAAAUCAUGCUUCCAUUUAAACAUACACAUCAGGACCAAAGAUUUCCCAUUAGAAGAUUCCUAUAUUGAUGCUCUUUCUAGAGACCUCUCUGAAUAAAAAACUGCAUUCUGAUACUUACUGUGUGACCUUGGGCAAAACCUUUAUAAGCCGUACUUGAAGUGUAUGGAAUGACCACCUCUUCCUAAAGUCACAGGACUGCUGCGAAGUUACAGUUACCAGGUAGGCAGUGUUGUGAGUGCAAAUAUACCAUUUGUGUCUUUAUACCUCCUGCCUGCAUGUCUUCUG
Bubalus bubalis (water buffalo) is the source of this 919-nucleotide long non-coding RNA. RefSeq lists it as uncharacterized. The transcript is spliced from 3 exons. NCBI's taxonomy places the organism in Eukaryota, Metazoa, Chordata, Mammalia, Artiodactyla, Bovidae. The record is from RefSeq and is a predicted model, not a curated record.